Molecule: small nucleolar RNA, 127 nt
Organism: Jaculus jaculus (lesser Egyptian jerboa)
Lineage: Eukaryota; Metazoa; Chordata; Mammalia; Rodentia; Dipodidae
Product: small nucleolar RNA SNORA33
Exons: 1
Source: RefSeq, a predicted model, not a curated record
AAGCCAAUUAAUCUUUUUAUCUGAAUGUGUUUCUGCAGAAAUUUAGAAACAACUGGCAUUAGCCAUGCCAUUUUAUGAACCUUAAGGACAACUGAGGUCAUUAUAGUCCUUCAAAAUGGCUACAGUA